GGCCAGUUAGCUCAGUUGGCUAGAGCGUGGUACCGAUAACACCAAGGUCUGAGGUUCAAUUCCUGCACUGGCCA
This is a non-coding RNA of Galeopterus variegatus (Sunda flying lemur), 74 nucleotides long. NCBI's taxonomy places the organism in Eukaryota, Metazoa, Chordata, Mammalia, Dermoptera, Cynocephalidae. The record is from the annotation of a RefSeq genome assembly.